UGCACACACACACACACAACGCCCAGGCUCACACACGCGCAGGGACACACCUGCUCUGAGGAGGGUCUCAGGGCAGGCCCUGGAUCACCGUGAGGAGGCCCAGCCCAGCCCACCAGAGGCCCGGGAGCCCGCGCCCCCUCCAGCCUGGGGUCCCCGGCCCGCACCAGGCCCCGCCCCGCCCCGCAGGCCGGCGCCUGCAGCUGGCUGGCUGCAGUUUCCUAGGAAACGCUGUCUCUGUCGCUGCAUGCAAGGUCUCCAGGGCCUCCAGCGUGUGCCAGACAAGCCCCCGGAGCCUGCCCGGAACUUGGGCUGCAGGCAGCGUGGCCCACGCCAUCCCCACAGCAGAAGGCCUUCCCGAGGAGCCUGCCAUCCUGGAGACGACACUGCUAGCAGCAAGCGGCCGGCAGCCCUGUGCCCCAGCUGAGAGGCCGCAACGGGGACCGCGGAGCCGGGGAGGCCCGCUCGUCGCGGGUGUGACUUCCAAGAGCAGGGCCCCCUCUAGGCAUGGAGGGAGGGGACUGGAGCCGGUUUCCUGGGCAGGGUUGGGGCCUGAUGAGGGACCACCUCGAAGACCCCACGUUGGCAGCCGGCCCGCCUUGGCCCCCCGCGCACCCUGGGGUCCACGUGCUCACAGAGGCAGGGCAGGGCCAGGGGGCAGGGGAGGCCCCAGCCAGACCCCGGUGUCCACCGUCCACACGUCUCUGAGGACAUCAGGCUGCGGGUGAAGACGCUGAGUGUGGAGGCCAGAACACCGCCCUGGAGCCCACCCUCCGGGACGGGGGUGCCCGAUGCAGCCGAGGCCACCCUGUGCUGCCGGACAGACACGCAGAUGCCCCGUGGGACCCACUCUGACCCCGGAAAGGACCCCUCACUCAGAGGACCCACCCACUGGGGGCCUGGCUGGCUAGGGCACCUGUCGAGUGGCAAGUGGGACCACGUAUGCCAGGCCUGCCUUGAGGGCGGGAGUGGGGGCGGGCGAGUGCUCGGAAGGGGCCCCCAAGGAAAGCUGGUGGACCCCUGCCUGCCCCGGGGGCGCCUCCAUCACAGCCUGCCCACCAGCCCAGGGCCAGAUGCCUCAUGGAGGUAGUGGCCGCCACCCAGAAGGGAGGGUGAGAUGCUGGGUGGCUGGCCCCCGGGGCACAGGUCACCCACCACGCACGUGGUAUCCUGACUGCUGGGGCCUGGGCAGGCUGGCCCAGCCCCCCGCUCCCACAGCAGUGGAGAGACUUGGGGAGCCUCCUGCCUUGACCCCAGCCAGUCCCGGAGCAGCAGGCAGAGGCCCUGAGCAGCCGGGGAUGCCGCCCACAGGGCCACUGAGCUCAGAAGGCUGCCGUCUGGAGGCUUGUCCGUCCAGCCUGGAGCCGGCUAUGCUAACGGAGAAACACGAGACCCACUUGGCUACUUGUCGAGAUGGUGCUUCCAAAAGCAGCAAGGAUUUGGUCUUGAAAGCACAUCGUCUCUUCCCAUUGGCCCAUGUUCUCCGGGCUCACCAGCCUCUGUUGUUCUUCCGGGGGCAGGGGUCCUCAGCUCAGGGGCCUGUGAGCUCGGACGGGAGCAAAUGGCAUCUUUGGUCUCCUCGACUCUGACCGGAGCUCAGCGGCCCUUCUCCAGGAGCAUCUGUCCUUGGUGCCCGCGGCUCUGUCUCCACCAGGAAACCCGAGGCUCCACCCUCAUCCCUUCCUGACCCUGCGCGCUGUCGGCUCCCACUUCCUCACCCAGGUCAGCAAGGGGCCCAGCCAUCACUUUAAUAUUUUGAUAACUAUUUCAAAAUAACUGGUUUCCUUUGUAACCCUGUGUGCCUUUCAGGUCAGUUCAGUUCAG
Long non-coding RNA from Capra hircus (goat), 1821 nucleotides. RefSeq lists it as uncharacterized. The record is from RefSeq and is a predicted model, not a curated record. The transcript is spliced from 3 exons. Lineage: Eukaryota; Metazoa; Chordata; Mammalia; Artiodactyla; Bovidae.